This 2775-nucleotide ribosomal RNA is filed under the name Pseudomonas simiae. RNAcentral's name for it is "bacterial LSU rRNA". It matches the Rfam family "Bacterial large subunit ribosomal RNA". RNAcentral also lists the same sequence under 1 other name. The record is from RNAcentral. Lineage: Bacteria; Pseudomonadati; Pseudomonadota; Gammaproteobacteria; Pseudomonadales; Pseudomonadaceae.
AGCGCAUACGGUGGAUGCCUUGGCAGUCAGAGGCGAUGAAAGACGUGGUAGCCUGCGAAAAGCUUCGGGGAGUCGGCAAACAGACUUUGAUCCGGAGAUGUCUGAAUGGGGGAACCCAGCCAUCAUAAGAUGGUUAUCUUGUACUGAAUACAUAGGUGCAAGAGGCGAACCAGGGGAACUGAAACAUCUAAGUACCCUGAGGAAAAGAAAUCAACCGAGAUUCCCUUAGUAGUGGCGAGCGAACGGGGACUAGCCCUUAAGUGGCUUUGAGAUUAGCGGAACGCUCUGGAAAGUGCGGCCAUAGUGGGUGAUAGCCCUGUACGCGAAAAUCUCUUAGUCAUGAAAUCGAGUAGGACGGAGCACGAGAAACUUUGUCUGAAUAUGGGGGGACCAUCCUCCAAGGCUAAAUACUACUGACUGACCGAUAGUGAACUAGUACCGUGAGGGAAAGGCGAAAAGAACCCCGGAGAGGGGAGUGAAAUAGAUCCUGAAACCGUAUGCGUACAAGCAGUGGGAGCCUACUUUGUUAGGUGACUGCGUACCUUUUGUAUAAUGGGUCAGCGACUUAUUUUCAGUGGCGAGCUUAACCGAAUAGGGGAGGCGUAGCGAAAGCGAGUCUUAAUAGGGCGUCUAGUCGCUGGGAAUAGACCCGAAACCGGGCGAUCUAUCCAUGGGCAGGUUGAAGGUUGGGUAACACUAACUGGAGGACCGAACCGACUACCGUUGAAAAGUUAGCGGAUGACCUGUGGAUCGGAGUGAAAGGCUAAUCAAGCUCGGAGAUAGCUGGUUCUCCUCGAAAGCUAUUUAGGUAGCGCCUCAUGUAUCACUGUAGGGGGUAGAGCACUGUUUCGGCUAGGGGGUCAUCCCGACUUACCAAACCGAUGCAAACUCCGAAUACCUACAAGUGCCGAGCAUGGGAGACACACGGCGGGUGCUAACGUCCGUCGUGAAAAGGGAAACAACCCAGACCGUCAGCUAAGGUCCCAAAGUUAUGGUUAAGUGGGAAACGAUGUGGGAAGGCUUAGACAGCUAGGAGGUUGGCUUAGAAGCAGCCACCCUUUAAAGAAAGCGUAAUAGCUCACUAGUCGAGUCGGCCUGCGCGGAAGAUGUAACGGGGCUCAAACCAUACACCGAAGCUACGGGUAUCACGUAAGUGAUGCGGUAGAGGAGCGUUCUGUAAGCCUGUGAAGGUGAGUUGAGAAGCUUGCUGGAGGUAUCAGAAGUGCGAAUGCUGACAUGAGUAACGACAAUGGGUGUGAAAAACACCCACGCCGAAAGACCAAGGUUUCCUGCGCAACGUUAAUCGACGCAGGGUUAGUCGGUCCCUAAGGCGAGGCUGAAAAGCGUAGUCGAUGGAAAACAGGUUAAUAUUCCUGUACUUCUGGUUAUUGCGAUGGAGGGACGGAGAAGGCUAGGCCAGCUUGGCGUUGGUUGUCCAAGUUUAAGGUGGUAGGCUGAGAUCUUAGGUAAAUCCGGGAUCUUAAGGCCGAGAGCUGAUGACGAGCUAACUUUUAGUUAGCGAAGUGGUUGAUGCCAUGCUUCCAAGAAAAGCUUCUAAGCUUCAGGUAACCAGGAACCGUACCCCAAACCGACACAGGUGGUUGGGUAGAGAAUACCAAGGCGCUUGAGAGAACUCGGGUGAAGGAACUAGGCAAAAUGGCACCGUAACUUCGGGAGAAGGUGCGCCGGUGAGGGUGAAGGACUUGCUCCGUAAGCUCAUGCCGGUCGAAGAUACCAGGCCGCUGCGACUGUUUAUUAAAAACACAGCACUCUGCAAACACGAAAGUGGACGUAUAGGGUGUGACGCCUGCCCGGUGCCGGAAGGUUAAUUGAUGGGGUUAGCUAACGCGAAGCUCUUGAUCGAAGCCCCGGUAAACGGCGGCCGUAACUAUAACGGUCCUAAGGUAGCGAAAUUCCUUGUCGGGUAAGUUCCGACCUGCACGAAUGGCGUAACGAUGGCGGCGCUGUCUCCACCCGAGACUCAGUGAAAUUGAAAUCGCUGUGAAGAUGCAGUGUAUCCGCGGCUAGACGGAAAGACCCCGUGAACCUUUACUAUAGCUUUGCACUGGACUUUGAAUUUGCUUGUGUAGGAUAGGUGGGAGGCUUUGAAGCGUGGACGCCAGUUCGCGUGGAGCCAUCCUUGAAAUACCACCCUGGCAACUUUGAGGUUCUAACUCAGGUCCGUUAUCCGGAUCGAGGACAGUGUAUGGUGGGUAGUUUGACUGGGGCGGUCUCCUCCUAAAGAGUAACGGAGGAGUACGAAGGUGCGCUCAGACCGGUCGGAAAUCGGUCGUAGAGUAUAAAGGCAAAAGCGCGCUUGACUGCGAGACAGACACGUCGAGCAGGUACGAAAGUAGGUCUUAGUGAUCCGGUGGUUCUGUAUGGAAGGGCCAUCGCUCAACGGAUAAAAGGUACUCCGGGGAUAACAGGCUGAUACCGCCCAAGAGUUCAUAUCGACGGCGGUGUUUGGCACCUCGAUGUCGGCUCAUCACAUCCUGGGGCUGAAGCCGGUCCCAAGGGUAUGGCUGUUCGCCAUUUAAAGUGGUACGCGAGCUGGGUUUAGAACGUCGUGAGACAGUUCGGUCCCUAUCUGCCGUGGACGUUUGAGAUUUGAGAGGGGCUGCUCCUAGUACGAGAGGACCGGAGUGGACGAACCUCUGGUGUUCCGGUUGUCACGCCAGUGGCAUUGCCGGGUAGCUAUGUUCGGAAUAGAUAACCGCUGAAAGCAUCUAAGCGGGAAACUAGCCUCAAGAUGAGAUCUCACUGGAACCUUGA